UAUUUUUCCAAGAGCUGAAACAGCCGCAUCAUGGGCUGCUAAGUAAUCUGGACGUAGUGUCUCUGGACGCAGCAUGAUAGAAUUUAGGCCACCAAGAGCCUCUUUCAUGUGAGAUUUGAAAAUUGAUCCACCGAACUCUGCACUAACACCAAUACCCUGUGCAACUAUCUGUAAAACUUCUGGUUUCCUCUCAUAGCAGGCAUCAAAUAGGAAU
Molecule: unclassified non-coding RNA, 214 nt
Filed under: Hevea brasiliensis (rubber tree)
Lineage: Eukaryota; Viridiplantae; Streptophyta; Magnoliopsida; Malpighiales; Euphorbiaceae
Source: RNAcentral